This 253-nucleotide ribosomal RNA is filed under the name uncultured bacterium. Its description in RNAcentral is "partial 16S ribosomal RNA". It matches the Rfam family "Bacterial small subunit ribosomal RNA", at positions 524 to 776 of the family's 1533-position model. The record is from RNAcentral.
UACGAAGGGGGCUAGCGUUAAUCGGAAUUACUGGGCGUAAAGCGUGCGCAGGCGGUUCGUUAUGUCCGUUGUGAAAGCCCCGGGCUCAACCUGGGAAUGGCAAUGGAAACUGGCGGGCUAGAGUGUGGCAGAGGGGGGUGGAAUUCCGCGUGUAGCAGUGAAAUGCGUAGAGAUGCGGAGGAACACCGAUGGCGAAGGCAGCCCCCUGGGCUAGCACUGACGCUCAGGCACGAAAGCGUGGGGAGCAAACAGG